AACGCACGAGACCUGCGGACCUGCGGAAGGAUCAUUACCGAGUGCGGGCCCUCGCGGCCCAACCUCCCACCCUUGUCUCUAUACACCUGUUGCUUUGGCGGGCCCACCGGGGCCACCUGGUCGCCGGGGGACGUCGUCUCCGGGCCCGCGCCCGCCGAAGCGCUCUGUGAACCCUGAUGAAGAUGGGCUGUCUGAGUACUAUGAAAAUUGUCAAAACUUUUAGCAACGGAUCUCUAGAUC
This 240-nucleotide unclassified non-coding RNA is filed under the name soil metagenome. RNAcentral's name for it is "partial contains 5.8S ribosomal RNA, internal transcribed spacer 2, and large subunit ribosomal RNA". The record is from RNAcentral.